RNAcentral lists this ribosomal RNA (404 nucleotides) under Pimelobacter simplex. RNAcentral's name for it is "bacterial SSU rRNA". It matches the Rfam family "Bacterial small subunit ribosomal RNA", at positions 1103 to 1503 of the family's 1533-position model. The record is from RNAcentral. Lineage: Bacteria; Bacillati; Actinomycetota; Actinomycetes; Propionibacteriales; Nocardioidaceae.
CCUCGUUCCAAGUUGCCAGCGGGUUAUACCGGGGACUCAUGGGAGACUGCCGGGGUCAACUCGGAGGAAGGUGGGGAUGACGUCAAUUCAUCAUGCCCCUUAUGUCCAGGGCUUCACACAUGCUACAAUGGCCGGUACAAAGGGCUGCGAUCCCGUGAGGGGGAGCGAAUCCCAAAAAGCCGGUCUCAGUUCGGAUUGGGGUCUGCAACUCUACCCCAUGAAGUCUGAGUCGCUAGUAAUCGCAGAUCAGCCACGCUGCGGUGAAUACGUUCCCGGGCCUUGUAAAAACCGCCCGUUAAGUCACGNAAAUCGGCAACACCCGAAGCCGGUGGCCUUACCCACGUGGAAGGAGCCGUCGAAGGUGGGGCUGGCGAUUGGGACGAAGUCGUAACAAGGUGAGCCGU